This 71-nucleotide transfer RNA is filed under the name Loxodonta africana (African savanna elephant). It matches the Rfam family "tRNA". From Rfam's summary of the family: Transfer RNA (tRNA) molecules are approximately 80 nucleotides in length. Their secondary structure includes four short double-helical elements and three loops (D, anti-codon, and T loops). Further hydrogen bonds mediate the characteristic L-shaped molecular structure. tRNAs have two regions of fundamental functional importance: the anti-codon, which is responsible for specific mRNA codon recognition, and the 3' end, to which the tRNAs corresponding amino acid is attached (by aminoacyl-tRNA synthetases). tRNAs cope with the degeneracy of the genetic code in two manners: having more than one tRNA (with a specific anti-codon) for a particular amino acid; and 'wobble' base-pairing, i.e. permitting non-standard base-pairing at the 3rd anti-codon position. The record is from Rfam by way of RNAcentral. Lineage: Eukaryota; Metazoa; Chordata; Mammalia; Proboscidea; Elephantidae.
UCAUUGGUGGUUCAGUGGUAGAAUUCCUGUCCUCUAUGUAGGAGACCCGGGUUCAAUUCCUGGCCUAUAUC